Molecule: ribosomal RNA, 473 nt
Filed under: uncultured organism
Description: partial 16S ribosomal RNA
Rfam family: Bacterial small subunit ribosomal RNA
Source: RNAcentral
GUACACUCCUGCGGGAGGCAGCAGUGGGGAAUUUUGGACAAUGGGCGAAAGCCUGAUCCAGCCAUGCCGCGUGCAGGAUGAAGGCCUUCGGGUUGUAAACUGCUUUUGUACGGAACGAAACGGCCUUUUCUAAUAAAGAGGGCUAAUGACGGUACCGUAAGAAUAAGCACCGGCUAACUACGUGCCAGCAGCCGCGGUAAUACGUAGGGUGCAAGCGGUAAUCGGAAUUACUGGGCGUAAAGCGUGCGCAGGCGGUUAUGUAAGACAGUUGCGAAAUCCCCGGGCUCAACCUGGGAACUGCAUCUGUGACUGCAUAGCUAGAGUACGGUAGAGGGGGAUGGAAUUCCGCGUGUAGCAGUGAAAUGCGUAGAUAUGCGGAGGAACACCGAUGGCGAAGGCAAUCCCCUGGACCUGUACUGACGCUCAUGCACGAAAGCGUGGGGAGCAAACAGGAUUAGAAACCCUGGUAGUCC